Long non-coding RNA from Mus pahari (shrew mouse), 346 nucleotides. RefSeq lists it as uncharacterized. Lineage: Eukaryota; Metazoa; Chordata; Mammalia; Rodentia; Muridae. The transcript is spliced from 3 exons. The record is from RefSeq and is a predicted model, not a curated record.
UAAGGCUUCUUUCAGCAGUGACUUAGUGUGGCCUGGAACCUGAAGUAGGUCCUUUCCCGGGAGAGGAGACAUGCGGCCCCGUGACGUUGCUGCCUGGCUCCCUCAUGGUCGCGUUCAGCUUGCUCUGCAGUCUAAUUCUGUACAGAAGGCAGGGGUGGUGGCACCGAAGAUGAAAGAAGCUGUGAUCCCUAGAGCUCACCUUGCAAGGAAAUGAGAGCAGAAGCUAGAUCUACAGUUGGACACCCUCCGGACUUUUGUCUCUGAUGAAUAUAACAAGAAAACUAGCCAGGUUGCGGUGGUGAGCACUUUUAAUCCCAGCACUUGGGAGGCAGAGGCAGAGGCAGAG